This 630-nucleotide ribosomal RNA is filed under the name Mutinus sp. MA-2013. RNAcentral's name for it is "eukaryotic LSU rRNA". It matches the Rfam family "Eukaryotic large subunit ribosomal RNA", at positions 66 to 655 of the family's 3401-position model. Lineage: Eukaryota; Fungi; Basidiomycota; Agaricomycetes; Phallales; Phallaceae. The record is from RNAcentral.
UAACAAGGAUUCCCCUAGUAACGGCGAGUGAAGCGGGAAGAGCUCAAAUUUGUAAUCUGACGGUCCACGGCCGUCCGAGUUGUAAUCUGGAGAAGCGUUUUCGAGCGCCGGCCCGCGUACAAGUCCCCUGGAACGGGGCGUCGCAGAGGGUGAGAAUCCCGUCCCCGACGCGGUCCUGCCGGCGCGUUGCGAUGCGCUCUCGAAGAGUCGAGUUGUUUGGGAAUGCAGCUCAAAACGGGUGGUAAAUUCCAUCUAAAGCUAAAUACCGGCGAAAGACCGAUAGCGAACAAGUACCGUGAGGGAAAGAUGAAAAGCACUUUGGAAAGAGAGUCAAACAGUACGUGAAAUUGUUGAAAGGGAAACGCUCCAAGUCAGUCGCGUCCGCCGGGACUCAGUCGCGCUCCGAAAGGGGCGAGACGUACUUCCCGCGUCCGGACGGGCCAGCGUCGAUUUCGACCGUCGUAGGAAGCCGCCGGGAACGUGGCACCUCCGGGUGCGUUAUAGCCCGGCGGUAGGAUCGCGACGGACGGGAUCGAGGGAUGCAGCGCGCCCCCCCUCUCGAGGGGGGCCGGGGUUCGCCCACGUAACGCGCUUGGGAUGCUGGCUUAAUGGCUUCGAGCGACCCGUCUU